GGGGUUGUGGCUCAGUGGUAGAGCACUUGCCUUGCAUGUGUGAGGCACUGGGUUCAAUUCUCAGCACCG
Molecule: transfer RNA, 69 nt
Filed under: Marmota marmota marmota (Alpine marmot)
Lineage: Eukaryota; Metazoa; Chordata; Mammalia; Rodentia; Sciuridae
Also listed under: 3 other names
Rfam family: tRNA
About the family: Transfer RNA (tRNA) molecules are approximately 80 nucleotides in length. Their secondary structure includes four short double-helical elements and three loops (D, anti-codon, and T loops).
Source: Rfam by way of RNAcentral